CAGCACCGCCGGGCGCCCGUCGGGCUCUGGGCGAGAGAGAGAAAUCCGGUUAAAAUCAGAGUCGGAGGGAGGUUUAACCACAGAUCGGUUCCGAUCGGAUUAUUCCUUAAAGGGGACGCGCCAUUGUCAAGAGAACGGAGCCUUGGGCUCGAGGGCGGGGACCGGCGGCGCCUGAGGAUCGAGGCAGCUGCACUUGGACUGGGGACGGGUAGGCGCCGGGAUGCCUGCCGAUCGGCAGCCACAACCCUGGCGGGAGACUAGGUCGCCGGCGCUCUCCCGCUGCCCUUCCUGAUAGGAGCUCGAGGGGGAGGCGGGCCAGGAUGGCAAGCUGCGCGGCCCGGGCCAAGACUCCUAACGGACGCUAAACCGCGGCGCAGCCCCCGCCUCAACCGAAAACCCGCCGGAGGAGCAGCGGGUCCUUGGGGAGCGCCGCGCGCCUCGCUCCCCCGCGCGCGCCGCUUCCUUGCGCGCCUCCUUCUCGCGCGCCCCAUUCUGCUAGCGCGCGCCGCGUCCUCGCGGGAGCCGCCCCACCAGGAGGAAGGCGGUGGCGGCGAGGAGGAGGGAGGUCGGCGCCCACUGCUUCACCGCUCGGGGCGGAGAAGGGAGGGCUAAGGAGCAAACUUAGCGCGGCAGCUGGCGGCCUUGGGCGAGAAGGGAGCGCGCGGAGUCACCAGCCCGGCCCAGCAUUGUCAGUCUUUUCCUUUGCUCUCGUCACUCCGCCCACUGUUUGCGAUCGUGGGGAGGGGUGAGAACUCGGGUGCCGUGCCACCCCGCUCCUGGUCGGCGAGCACCCCCAGACCCCGAGACUGGCCGGAGCAGAGGUCGGCCCCACGGACGCCGCAGCCACCGCCCGCGGGCCGUCGGGGCCUGUGAGUGCCUUUGCUGCUCUCAGUCUCCGCACUGGCGUCGCCUGUCUGGGCGCUGAGCUCUUCUUUGCAACUUUUCUUUGGCGAUUGAUGGAAGUUGUGGCUUCCGGGCGACAGGUUCUUUGGGCAUAACCUCAUUUCUUGCGUCUUGGAGAGGCAGAUUUCUAGGGUGAAAUGGUUCUUGAUCGCUGCCUCCCCCCUCAGUUUCAUUCCUCUUCACCUAAAAUCGCUACCCUAGUGGAUUUGCAAUUGUAAGGGGGCAUUAACCUCUCUCAGGUCAAGAUAAUUUGAGACCAAAAAAAAAAAGAGGGGUGCUGAUGAGGAGCCAGAGCUCUGCCUAGAGCUGAAUUUGCCUUAACCUUUGAACUAUAGAAAGUAUUGCCUCUACUUACUGGCGGAGCUUCUUUCCGAAGAAAGAAAACUGCAAAACAGAACGAAACAAAAAACUCCAAGUUGCUAGGGUCUAUCGAAUUAGGGGGAAAAAAAUAGACUUUUGAUAGAAAUAAAGUUAGUUUUGUAACAGUUCUGCCUAGCAGCUAUCUCCCAUUAAGUUAAUUUCUGCUACUGAAUCUUUAGGCAUUAUACUAAGUAACAGCAACUUUUACUAUUGAUAAAAUGAAUGUAAGGUUCCCCCCCCCCCCCCCCGUCUUGAGCAUUAGUGCUAUGCUGUACCUGUCAACGCUUGCUAAAGAAAUUAGAAACAACGCAUCCUUGUUAAAGACCUUAUUUAGAAAAGGAAUGUUUUCAUGAGCAUUCAUUUUUGACAGUUUCUUCUUGUGCAAUACUUUGUAGAGUACUUGCAUGUGCAAGUUACAAGCCUAUAAACAAAGUUGCAGUGGGUGUGUUAUUUUGUGGUCUUUUUUGGCUACUCAUUAUCAAAGACAGCAUUCCAUCCUAUCUUCUCUUGCAUUCUGAGUUAUUUUGUAAAAUUACUUCUUUAGAAAAGUACAUUUUGCUGGAAACGCCAGUCCAAUUUUUUUUUUUUUUAAAGCAAUACUAACAACUUCCCAAAGUGUUCAUUGAUUAACUUUUUGGUAACUUUAAGAGUGGUGUGGAGCAGUAUAAAUUAAGUUCACGGGAAUAAAAAUAGAGGAGAAACUACUCAGGAAACUAAAAGCCAAUUUCAGAUAAUAAUACUUGAGAGAUGCUUCACUCUUCCCAUAGAAUUUAGGAAGUGUAGACACACAAAAACAUGAUCUCUUGUAGUAAUCUUGGUAUCUGGCAUAGUUACACCUAAUAUUCUCUUUCCUCAUCUUGUCUUUGAACCUCCUCUUUGAUAAGAAUGUCAGGCAACAUUGCAGGCAAAAUCCUCCUUUCCAUCUCAUGAUAGAAAGUAGAAGAUUAAAACAAUUUUCCAAAUUUCUCUUUUUGUUUACUUUCCAGCGUAUUUAAACAAUAGAGGAGAGAAUUCCUGGACUUUUAAAAGAUCACAUAUAAAGCAAACACUCAGAAAGAAUUAUCUUUGAAAUAUCCAGGCUGUGUUUCCUGGAAAACAUAUUUUUUCCUGCGUGCUUCUUACAUUGUUUUAAACACAUUGUCUUAAAUAUACACAUUGCCAAGGCAUUUCUUCAAUUGUGAACUGUCCCUUGAGAUCCCUGGGAACUAGAACCGUCCCCUAUUUCUGUGAAAAUUCAGUGGGUCACCUGGUACAUUUCGAGUACCCAAUCAAUGUGUUGACUUAGGUCUUUGUAACAGCACAAGGUAAUGUUCUAUAGAAGCUGCUAGAGAGGAUUAUUUUUUAAAUAAACACCUUUCUGAACAAGUUACACCAGAGAACCACAAUGGUGUAGUGUCUGGGGAAAGAUGUGUUAAUCCAGGUGCUUUUUGUUCUGUC
This 2700-nucleotide long non-coding RNA is filed under the name Sus scrofa (pig). Its description in RNAcentral is "lncRNA (ENSSSCG00065016624.1)". Lineage: Eukaryota; Metazoa; Chordata; Mammalia; Artiodactyla; Suidae. The record is from RNAcentral.